GACGAACGCUGGCGGCGUGCUUAACACAUGCAAGUCGAACGGAAAGGCCCUGCUUUUGUUGGGUGCUCGAGUGGCGAACGGGUGAGUAACACGUGAGUAACCUGCCCUUGACUUUGGGAUAACUUCAGGAAACUGGGGCUAAUACCGGAUAGGAGCUCCUGCUGCAUGGUGGGGGUUGGAAAGUUUCGGCGGUUGGGGAUGGACUCGCGGCUUAUCAGCUUGUUGGUGGGGUAGUGGCUUACCAAGGCUUUGACGGGUAGCCGGCCUGAGAGGGUGACCGGCCACAUGGGGACUGAGAUAGGGCCCAGACGCCUACGGGAGGCAGCAGUGGGGAAUAUUGCACAAUGGGCGGAAGCCUGAUGCAGCAACGCCGCGUGCGGGAUGACGGCCUUCGGGUUGUAAACCGCUUUCGCCUGUGACGAAGCGUGAGUGACGGUAAUGGGUAAAGAAGCACCGGCUAACUACGUG
This 468-nucleotide ribosomal RNA is filed under the name uncultured bacterium. RNAcentral's name for it is "partial 16S ribosomal RNA". It matches the Rfam family "Bacterial small subunit ribosomal RNA", at positions 28 to 507 of the family's 1533-position model. The record is from RNAcentral.